UACGUAGGGUCCGAGCGUUGUCCGGAAUUACUGGGCGUAAAGAGCUCGUAGGUGGUUUGUCGCGUUGUUCGUGAAAACUCACAGCUCAACUGUGGGCGUGCGGGCGAUACGGGCAGACUUGAGUACUGCAGGGGAGACUGGAAUUCCUGGUGUAGCGGUGGAAUGCGCAGAUACCAGGAGGAACACCGGUGGCGAAGGCGGCUCUCUGGGCCUUACCUGACGCUGAGGAGCGAAAGCGUGGGUAGCGAACAGG
RNAcentral lists this ribosomal RNA (253 nucleotides) under uncultured bacterium. RNAcentral describes it as "partial 16S ribosomal RNA". It matches the Rfam family "Bacterial small subunit ribosomal RNA", at positions 524 to 776 of the family's 1533-position model. The record is from RNAcentral.